This 448-nucleotide ribosomal RNA is filed under the name uncultured soil bacterium. Its description in RNAcentral is "bacterial SSU rRNA". It matches the Rfam family "Bacterial small subunit ribosomal RNA", at positions 26 to 518 of the family's 1533-position model. The record is from RNAcentral.
AGAACGAACGCUGGCGGCAGGCUUAACACAUGCAAGUCGAACGGUUGUAGCAAUACAGCAGUGGCAGACGGGUGAGUAACACGUGGGAACCUUCCUAGGGGUACGGAACAACUCAGGGAAACUUGAGCUAAUACCGUAUACGUCCGUGAGGAGAAAGUUUUAACGCCCCUAGACGGGCCCGCGUAGGAUUAGGUAGUUGGUGAGGUAACGGCUCACCAAGCCUACGAUCCUUAGCUGAUCUGAGAGGAUGAUCAGCCACACUGGGACUGAGACACGGCCCAGACUCCUACGGGAGGCAGCAGUGGGGAAUCUUGGACAAUGGGCGCAAGCCUGAUCCAGCCAUGCCGCGUGAGUGAAGAAGGCCUUCAGGUUGUAAAGCUCUUUUACCAGGGACGAUAAUGACGGUACCUGGAGAAUAAGCCCGGCAAACUUCGUGCCUAGCAGCCGC